Molecule: ribosomal RNA, 301 nt
Filed under: uncultured bacterium
Lineage: Bacteria
Description: partial 16S ribosomal RNA
Rfam family: Bacterial small subunit ribosomal RNA
Source: RNAcentral
CAGCAGCCGCGGUAAUACCGAGGGUGCGAGCGUUAAUCGGAUUUACUGGGCGUAAAGCGUGCGUAGGCGGCUAAUUGAGUCGGAUGUGAAAUCCCCGAGCUUAACUUGGGAAUUGCAUUCGAUACUGGUUAGCUAGAGUGUGGGAGAGGAUGGUAGAAUUCCAGGUGUAUCGGUGAAAUGCGUAGAGAUCUGGAGGAAUACCGAUGGCGAAGGCAGCCAUCUGGCCUAAUACUGACGCUGAGGUACGAAAGCAUGGGGAGCAAACAGGAUUAGAUACCCCAGUAGUCCCUGUCUCUUAUAA